Molecule: ribosomal RNA, 87 nt
Filed under: Bifidobacterium longum subsp. longum
Lineage: Bacteria; Bacillati; Actinomycetota; Actinomycetes; Bifidobacteriales; Bifidobacteriaceae
Description: partial 23S ribosomal RNA
Rfam family: Eukaryotic large subunit ribosomal RNA
Source: RNAcentral
AGGUCAGGCGGGGCCACCCGCUGAGUUUAAGCAUAUCAAUAAGCGGAGGAAAAGAAACUAACGAGGAUUCCCCUAGUAACGGCGAGC